Non-coding RNA from Peromyscus maniculatus bairdii (prairie deer mouse), 526 nucleotides. The record is from RefSeq and is a predicted model, not a curated record. Lineage: Eukaryota; Metazoa; Chordata; Mammalia; Rodentia; Cricetidae.
UGGAAUGGUAUUUGGCAGGGGCUGAAGGGAGUGAGGAGCUGUUGUUAACGUCACAGAAUGUCAGUUGGAGAUGGUCUAAAGGCUCUAGAACUGGACGGUGAGGACAGUUCUGCAAUAGUGCAGUUGCCAGACAUGCCACUGAGUCUAACCUCAGAAGACAGCGUUUGCCUCUUUCACUACCCGACUCUGUGCAGGUGCAGGAUGGGAUCCUGCUCAUGAGCACCGAGGAUGCCAGAGAAGCCACAGAAAGAUGAUGCUUAGCAGCAGCCCCAAUCUCUGCUCAGAUAACAAGCGGGACUUCACUCCAGACUCAACCCCAGGACACGUUCCCAUUGCAGGGCUCCAACGGCAAACAGUAUCCACCCUGAGCUUCUGCACUGGCACCAGGUCUGCUGAGCUGGCCAAAGGUCUGCGGACAGACAGGUCCCCAGGGAGGUGUAGCAGAUGAAGUGAAAAUAUGCUUAAUUCUGGCAACAUUAGAAAAUGCACAGAAGAAUAAAGAAGAGAACUAUUCAUCAUGUGGGAA